Molecule: ribosomal RNA, 253 nt
Filed under: uncultured bacterium
Lineage: Bacteria
Description: partial 16S ribosomal RNA
Rfam family: Bacterial small subunit ribosomal RNA
Source: RNAcentral
UACGUAGGGUGCAAGCGUUGUCCGGAAUUAUUGGGCGUAAAGAGCUCGUAGGUGGCCUGUCGCGUCGGAUGUGAAAGCCCUGGGCUCAACUCAGGAAGUGCAUUCGAUACUGGCAAGCUUGAGUAUGGAAGAGGGUCGCGGAAUUCCCGGUGUAGAGGUGAAAUUCGUAGAUAUCGGGAGGAACACCAGUGGCGAAGGCGGCGACCUGGGCCAAUACUGACACUGAGGUGCGAAAGCGUGGGGAGCAAACAGG